RNAcentral lists this ribosomal RNA (1347 nucleotides) under Escherichia coli. RNAcentral's name for it is "partial 23S ribosomal RNA". It matches the Rfam family "Bacterial large subunit ribosomal RNA", at positions 139 to 1529 of the family's 2925-position model. Lineage: Bacteria; Pseudomonadati; Pseudomonadota; Gammaproteobacteria; Enterobacterales; Enterobacteriaceae. The record is from RNAcentral.
UUCGACACACUAUCAUUAACUGAAUCCAUAGGUUAAUGAGGCGAACCGGGGGAACUGAAACAUCUAAGUACCCCGAGGAAAAGAAAUCAACCGAGAUUCCCCCAGUAGCGGCGAGCGAACGGGGAGCAGCCCAGAGCCUGAAUCAGUAUGUGUGUUAGUGGAAGCGUCUGGAAAGGCGCGCGAUACAGGGUGACAGCCCCGUACACAAAAAUGCACAUGCUGUGAGCUCGAUGAGUAGGGCGGGACACGUGGUAUCCUGUCUGAAUAUGGGGGGACCAUCCUCCAAGGCUAAAUACUCCUGACUGACCGAUAGUGAACCAGUACCGUGAGGGAAAGGCGAAAAGAACCCCGGCGAGGGGAGUGAAAAAGAACCUGAAACCGUGUACGUACAAGCAGUGGGAGCACGCUUAGGCGUGUGACUGCGUACCUUUUGUAUAAUGGGUCAGCGACUUAUAUUCUGUAGCAAGGUUAACCGAAUAGGGGAGCCGAAGGGAAACCGAGUCUUAACUGGGCGUUAAGUUGCAGGGUAUAGACCCGAAACCCGGUGAUCUAGCCAUGGGCAGGUUGAAGGUUGGGUAACACUAACUGGAGGACCGAACCGACUAAUGUUGAAAAAUUAGCGGAUGACUUGUGGCUGGGGGUGAAAGGCCAAUCAAACCGGGAGAUAGCUGGUUCUCCCCGAAAGCUAUUUAGGUAGCGCCUCGUGAAUUCAUCUCCGGGGGUAGAGCACUGUUUCGGCAAGGGGGUCAUCCCGACUUACCAACCCGAUGCAAACUGCGAAUACCGGAGAAUGUUAUCACGGGAGACACACGGCGGGUGCUAACGUCCGUCGUGAAGAGGGAAACAACCCAGACCGCCAGCUAAGGUCCCAAAGUCAUGGUUAAGUGGGAAACGAUGUGGGAAGGCCCAGACAGCCAGGAUGUUGGCUUAGAAGCAGCCAUCAUUUAAAGAAAGCGUAAUAGCUCACUGGUCGAGUCGGCCUGCGCGGAAGAUGUAACGGGGCUAAACCAUGCACCGAAGCUGCGGCAGCGACGCUGAUGCGUUGUUGGGUAGGGGAGCGUUCUGUAAGCCUGCGAAGGUGUGCUGUGAGGCAUGCUGGAGGUAUCAGAAGUGCGAAUGCUGACAUAAGUAACGAUAAAGCGGGUGAAAAGCCCGCUCGCCGGAAGACCAAGGGUUCCUGUCCAACGUUAAUCGGGGCAGGGUGAGUCGACCCCUAAGGCGAGGCCGAAAGGCGUAGUCGAUGGGAAACAGGUUAAUAUUCCUGUACUUGGUGUUACUGCGAAGGGGGGACGGAGAAGGCUAUGUUGGCCGGGCGACGGUUGUCCCGGUUUAAGCGUGUAGGCUGGU